UACGAAGGGGGCUAGCGUUGUUCGGAAUUACUGGGCGUAAAGCGCACGUAGGCGGAUAUUUAAGUCAGGGGUGAAAUCCCAGAGCUCAACUCUGGAACUGCCUUUGAUACUGGGUAUCUUGAGUAUGGAAGAGGUAAGUGGAAUUGCGAGUGUAGAGGUGAAAUUCGUAGAUAUUCGCAGGAACACCAGUGGCGAAGGCGGCUUACUGGUCCAUUACUGACGCUGAGGUGCGAAAGCGUGGGGAGCAAACAGGG
This 254-nucleotide ribosomal RNA is filed under the name uncultured bacterium. RNAcentral describes it as "partial 16S ribosomal RNA". It matches the Rfam family "Bacterial small subunit ribosomal RNA", at positions 524 to 777 of the family's 1533-position model. The record is from RNAcentral.